CACUUUGACCCACCCACCAUGCCGAUUUCGCCCAGGUCUGAGCCCAGCCACUGGAUCUGCGCGUCUGCGACCCACUGCCGCUCCAGUCUCCAGCUGUAGCGCCUCCUAGCCCUCUAUUCGCCGUCCGCCAAUAUCGUCAUCUUUGUGUUCGCCGGAUCUGACAGUUUUAGAUUUGAAUCGAGGAAGCUGUUGGAGGGUUGUCCAGCGGGACAAGAGUUUUGGUAAGAGGUAUAGUCCUUAUUAUUGGUUUGUGCCCUUUGAUGACUGAAUUAAGUUUGAAUUAACCCUUGUAUCUCUAGGGUUCCAAGUUGUCAUCCAUGGGUUCCAAGUUGUCAUCCAUUGGGAGUUAAAAUCUAUUGGAAGGAGAUUUGGAGUGGUUGUUAAGCGAGUUCCUUGGAUAAGCUUUUGGGUAUUGUGGUUUUGGCUCUGAGAUGUUGCAAUUAUUUUUUUUGGACUAAAACUUAGUGGUGUAUUCGUAUGUUAGGGUCGUUUCUUCAAAUCGUGGUCAUUGUUUAGUUGUCUGAGUUUAUCGGUGUAUUUUUUAUUAAGGUAAGUAAUCUUACCACUAGAACUGCCCACGGGCCAGACUUUAGUUGUAUGCUAGCGUGAUGAAUGUAUGUUAUGGUAAAUGUUAGAAUGUUGA
Molecule: non-coding RNA, 643 nt
Organism: Benincasa hispida (wax gourd)
Lineage: Eukaryota; Viridiplantae; Streptophyta; Magnoliopsida; Cucurbitales; Cucurbitaceae
Source: RefSeq, a predicted model, not a curated record